This 72-nucleotide transfer RNA is filed under the name Ovis aries (sheep). It matches the Rfam family "tRNA". From Rfam's summary of the family: Transfer RNA (tRNA) molecules are approximately 80 nucleotides in length. Their secondary structure includes four short double-helical elements and three loops (D, anti-codon, and T loops). The record is from Rfam by way of RNAcentral. Lineage: Eukaryota; Metazoa; Chordata; Mammalia; Artiodactyla; Bovidae.
UCCUUAGUGGCUCAGAUGGUAAAGAAUCUGCUUGCAACACAGAAGAUCCGGGUUCAAUCCCUGGCCUAGGAA